This 313-nucleotide long non-coding RNA is filed under the name Homo sapiens (human). RNAcentral's name for it is "non-protein coding lnc-KLHL32-4:32". Lineage: Eukaryota; Metazoa; Chordata; Mammalia; Primates; Hominidae. The record is from RNAcentral.
AGAUCCUUGGCCAAACAACGCGGAUUGCAGUUCAUUUCAAAGUGGUCUCCACAUCAAUAAAUGGAAUCUCCAUUCAUCUGGUUGCUUUGCUCAAAACCCCAAAGCACCAUGCUAGUUUCCUCCCUGCUCCCAGAUCAUUAGAGUGUCACAUAAUUUGAAGCCCUGCUACAUGAUGAUCCUGCUGUCUUCAUCCUCCUACCCACAACCCAAGUUUUACUCUUGUCGUCCCGGCUGGAGUACAAUGGUGCAAUCUUGGCUCACUGCAACCUCCACCUCCUCGGUUCAAGCGAUUCUCCCGCCUCAGCCUCCCAAG